AUUGAACGCUGGCGGCAGGCCUAACACAUGCACGUCGAACGAGUGGCGGACGGGUGAGUAAUGUCUGGGAACCUGCCUGAUGGAGGGGGAUAACUACUGGAAACGGUAGCUAAUACCGCAUACCAUCGGAUGUGCCCAGGUGGGAUUAGCUAGUAGGUGGGGUAAAGGCGCACCUAGGAGACGAUCCCUAGCUGGUCUGAGCGGAUGACAAGCCACACGGGAACGGAGACACGGUCCUGACUCCUACGGUAGGCAGGAGUGGGGAAUAUUGCACAAUGGGCGCAAGCCUGAUGCAGCCAUGCCGCGUGUAUGAAGAAGGCCUUCGGGUUGUAAAGGACUUUCAGCGGGGAGGCGUUACCCGCAGAAGAAGCACCGGCUAACUCCGUGCCAGCCGCCGCGGUAAUAC
Molecule: ribosomal RNA, 406 nt
Filed under: uncultured bacterium
Lineage: Bacteria
Description: partial 16S ribosomal RNA
Rfam family: Bacterial small subunit ribosomal RNA
Source: RNAcentral